CACAGACAACCAGGAUGUUGGCUUAGAAGCAGCCACUCAUUCAAAGAGUGCGUAAUAGCUCACUGGUCGAGUGAUCCUGCGCCGAAGAUUUCCGGGGCUAAAACUUACUACCGAAGCUACGGCAUCAGUAAUGAUGGGUAGGGGAGCUUCCCAUACGGGUUGAAGCAUGACCGUAAGGACAUGUGGACAGGAUGGGAGUGAGAAUGUUGGCAUGAGUAGCGAGAUGUGGGUGGGAAUCCCACAGGCCGUAAACCCAAGGUUUCCAGGGGAAGGUUCGUCCGCCCUGGGUUAGUCGGGACCUAAGCUGAGGCCGAAAGGCGUAGGUGAUGGACAACAGGGUGAUAUUCCUGUACUACCGAU
This 360-nucleotide ribosomal RNA is filed under the name Clostridioides difficile. RNAcentral's name for it is "bacterial LSU rRNA". It matches the Rfam family "Bacterial large subunit ribosomal RNA", at positions 1084 to 1451 of the family's 2925-position model. Lineage: Bacteria; Bacillati; Bacillota; Clostridia; Peptostreptococcales; Peptostreptococcaceae. The record is from RNAcentral.